This 269-nucleotide ribosomal RNA is filed under the name uncultured prokaryote. RNAcentral describes it as "partial 16S ribosomal RNA". It matches the Rfam family "Bacterial small subunit ribosomal RNA", at positions 524 to 792 of the family's 1533-position model. The record is from RNAcentral.
UACGUAGGUGGCGAGCGUUGUCCGGGUUUACUGGGCGUAAAGGGAGCGUAGGCGGACUUUUAAGUGAGAUGUGAAAUACCCGGGCUCAACUUGGGUGCUGCAUUUCAAACUGGAAGUCUAGAGUGCAGGAGAGGAGAAUGGAAUUCCUAGUGUAGCGGUGAAAUGCGUAGAGAUUAGGAAGAACACCAGUGGCGAAGGCGAUUCUCUGGACUGUAACUGACGCUGAGGCUCGAAAGCGUGGGGAGCAAACAGGAUUAGAUACCCUGGUA